AGGGUGAAAAAACCUGUCUUCGUAGUUGCCAGUGAUGAUGGAGCAGUGUCUCACCGAUGGAGGAGUCGUGGGAUGGCUCGUAAACGUGCGGGCGCCAGGGACGCUUUGGAGGGACUAGGAAGAUGAAAUCAAAAGGAAAAAAGGAGAAAGAUCCCCCCUGCAAAUCCAGAUCCCCCCUGCAAAUCCAUGCACCGGUUCAUCUGCUCGGCUGCUGCUGCUUGACAGAGUCAUUACUGCCUUGGCCUUCUGUGGACGUGUUUCAAACGCUCAUUGAGAGCUGAGGAGCCGAGUUGGCUUGUUUAUGACUUAGCUGACAAGCCCAGGCUAAAUCCAAAC
Molecule: long non-coding RNA, 336 nt
Organism: Poecile atricapillus (Black-capped chickadee)
Lineage: Eukaryota; Metazoa; Chordata; Aves; Passeriformes; Paridae
Exons: 3
Source: RefSeq, a predicted model, not a curated record